This is a long non-coding RNA of Macadamia integrifolia, 1093 nucleotides long. RefSeq lists it as uncharacterized. NCBI's taxonomy places the organism in Eukaryota, Viridiplantae, Streptophyta, Magnoliopsida, Proteales, Proteaceae. The record is from RefSeq and is a predicted model, not a curated record. The transcript is spliced from 3 exons.
AAAAAAAAAAAAAAACCCAAAACCAAAGAAAACGAUUUACGAUUUCUGAUUUCUUCCCCAAAUCCCUUCCAUUCGUUUUCUUCCCCAAAUCCCUGAUUCUGAUUUCUGAAAUCACAUCCCGUAGCCGUAGUCCGGUGAGUCCGUGACUCCCGUCAUCUCUCCCUUCUUCUCCGUUGGUCAUACUCUGAACCCUUCUUCUCCGUUUGUCAAUCGAAGAAAACUCAGAGCAAAAGAGGAAGAGCAGGUCGUCGGAAGUCGUCAGAAGUCGAGAAAGGUUAAUCCCAGGUCGUCGGAAGUCGUCGGAAGUCGGGCUUAGGCAUCGACAGUAGCAAGCAGGUAUAGUAGCAUCUCUUUUAUAUAUUUUUCUGUUCUUCCUUUUUUCGGUCAGAACUCAGAAGACUCUCAAGUCCGGUCCCCGUAGACUUACAGUCGUCGCUUGUGAAGGAAAGGAAGGAGCCAGUACCAAUUAACCGGCAAUCGGAGGUAGAGAACCGGUCGAAACCGAUAUCAGAUCAGUGUUUAGGUCCUUGUUAGUUAAAUAUUAUGGUGGAAUCGGGCUUGAUGUUGAGGAGAUCUCAGAACGUUGGAGGAACUUGUUCGUCGAGCAGCAUUUGCAGCAGUGGGUCUUCGUUGAGUAGCUGCUGAGGUUCAAAGAGAUCGAUCAGAACAUUGGUGGAACUUGUUCGUCGAGCAGCAUCUGCGGCAGUGUGUCUAGCUGUUGCAGAGGUUCAAAGAGAUCGAAGGUUUUGCAAUUAAAUUGAAGAUCAAACUUUUGACUACACAAAUUAUAUCCAAAGGUUAAUCCCUGCAUUCUCUCUCAAUCAGUUUCAAGGCCUAUUGAUUUAGACAAUCUUGAUGACUUGCCUAUAGUAGACUUUGAGCUUGAAAUGGAGAGGCUUGAGCAGACGUACGAGGAACCUGAACCAUCUGACACUGGAGCUGAUGGAGGAUCUACUUCAUAUAGUUUAAUGUCUCCUCAUUGAUCUUUUUUUUUUUUUUUUUUAUCAUUGAUCUUUGGACCUGUUAUAAUGAUACUGAGUUCUUUAGACAUCUUGGAUGAUAUGGAUGGAUGGAUGGAAUUUUUUUUUUUAUA